Molecule: ribosomal RNA, 253 nt
Filed under: uncultured bacterium
Lineage: Bacteria
Description: partial 16S ribosomal RNA
Rfam family: Bacterial small subunit ribosomal RNA
Source: RNAcentral
UACAGAGGGGGCAAGCGUUGUUCGGAAUUACUGGGCGUAAAGGGCGCGUAGGCGGCCUGUUAAGUCGAACGUGAAAUCCCCGGGCUCAACCCGGGAACUGCGUCCGAUACUGGCAGGCUUGAAUCCGGGAGAGGGAUGCGGAAUUCCAGGUGUAGCGGUGAAAUGCGUAGAUAUCUGGAGGAACACCGGUGGCGAAGGCGGCAUCCUGGACCUUUAUUGACGCUGAGGCGCGAAAGCGUGGGGAGCAAACAGG